This 1400-nucleotide long non-coding RNA is filed under the name Vulpes vulpes (red fox). RNAcentral's name for it is "lncRNA (ENSVVUG00000009852.1)". Lineage: Eukaryota; Metazoa; Chordata; Mammalia; Carnivora; Canidae. The record is from RNAcentral.
CCCCCCACGGCCGUGUGUGCCCCGGGGGCCCAGAGCCCGGGAGAUGAGACGGGGCCAGCCAGAGCCUGACCCCGCGCCCCUGCAUCCUUAGGGGGCGUCCACCGGUCCGUCUCUGCCCAGCAGCCCAGUGAGGCCGGAGGCCCCCGUGCUCGUGGCCUGCACCUCCUGGGAGGCCCCGGGGGACCUACCGACACUGACCCUCGUUGGUUGGGGUUUUCUGCUCCCCUAAUACUCGCACAAUCUUGACUCCCGCUCGGCGGGGUUGUCGCUGCCCCGAGGACACGGCCUUAUGCUGAAACCAGGGGUGCCCGAGGUGCCGGGCGAAGUGCCCCCUAAGCCCGGGCGUUAUAGGGUGUCCUCCCGCCUCGAGGCCUGCGCCCCCGCCCCGCAGGCCUGUGUGGCUCAGCUCGGGGUGAGCCAGCCGGGGCUCGGGCCUCCGCCCUCUGUUCCUAAUACACUCCAGGCUGUGCACGAAGCUAUUCAGGUGGAUUCAUUGAAGCCUGCAGCUCUGGCCCACUCGUGUGUGGAGUGAUUCAAGAGAAGCAACAGGUUCUGAGUACCAAGCGUUGGCCUAGAGCAGAGGCCCCCCAACGUAUGGCCAUGGUCAUCUGUCUACCGCCUGAUUUGUGUAAGGCCUGCCAGCAAAGAAUGAAUUUUACAUUUUUAAAUGAUUGGGGAGAAAAAUCAAAAGAAGAAGAAUAUUUCAUGACAUGUGAAAAUUAAAUAACAUUCACAUUUUAGUGUCCGUAAAUCAUGUUUUAUUGAAAAAUAGGCAUGCCAUUUGUUUAAGUAUAGACUAUGGCUGUGUGACAAAAGCAGAGUUAAGUCAUUUCAAUGGUAGGGCAGGACAAAUGUCUCUUUGACUCUCUUAGGGUCCCUGACUAGGUCUGAAAAUUAAACUGACCUUUGUCAGGAUUAACAGAUUAAUAGGAGAAGAGCCUACAAGGUUCAUUGAAUUUUUACAUGGGAAAUUUCAUAAGAGAAUGAAGACCAGAACUGACCAGAGUGGGAAGCCUUUAUAACUUUGAGGCAAAUGGUAAAUUUGUGAAGAAUUGACAAGAUAAAGAUAUUUGGGAUGGAAGAUGGUAGAUAGGAAAGAAGUAAUUCGGAAGAUAAGAGUUAGUUUAACAAAGUUUGUUCAUGCAGACCUCUUGGCCUUAAGUUCCCUGCCCUCUGGUGAUAAGAAUGUCUUGGUCGGGGCAUCUGGGUGGCUCAGUCAGUGGAGGCUGGACUCUUGAUUUGGGCUCGGAUCAUGACCUUGGGGUCAUGAAAUUAAGCCCAACUCUACUCUGCACUCGGAUAGAAGUCUGCUUGAAAUUCUCUCUCCCUCUGCCCCUGCCCCUGCUCCCUCUCCCUCUCUCUCCAAUAAAUACAUAUUAAGGAAAAAAAAAAAAAAAAAA